GUGAUCAUCGAAUCUUUGAACGCACCUUGCGCCCUUUGGCCAUUCCGAAGGGCAUGCCUGUUUGAGUAUCAUGAACACCUCAACUCUCAUGGUCCGCCAUGAUGAGCUUGGACUUUGGAGGUCUUGCUGGCCUGUGGUCGGCUCCUCUCAAAUAAAUCAGCUUUCCAGUAUUGGUGGCAUCACAGGUGUGAUAACUAUCUACGCUCGUGGUGUUUUUCCAGGUAACACUGGGGGCUCAUAGACGUCUCUCCUUGGUGGGGACAGCUUCGUGAACGUUUGAUCUCAAAUCAGGUAGGACUACCCGCUGAACUUA
RNAcentral lists this ribosomal RNA (313 nucleotides) under uncultured Tomentella. RNAcentral describes it as "eukaryotic LSU rRNA". The stretch from base 1 to 71 matches the Rfam family "5.8S ribosomal RNA", at positions 85 to 154 of the family's 154-position model. Lineage: Eukaryota; Fungi; Basidiomycota; Agaricomycetes; Thelephorales; Thelephoraceae. The record is from RNAcentral.